Molecule: long non-coding RNA, 512 nt
Filed under: Olea europaea subsp. europaea
Lineage: Eukaryota; Viridiplantae; Streptophyta; Magnoliopsida; Lamiales; Oleaceae
Source: RNAcentral
AGUGGAUAUAUCACCGUAGACUCUCUUCAAUCUCCCAACCAUAAGCUGAGUGGUUGGGCAAGUUUCUUUCGGCGUCUGUAGAAAUGCGUCAGUGGCGGUCUGAACCUGGCGUCCUCAUCAACUCCCCUUGGGUGGACGGGAGGCGAUCUGGACCAAGAAAGAUCCUGCUGACUCCGAUAAAGCUCUAGCAAAUCUGGAUCCAAAUGUUGUAGUGUCUCCCUGGAGAUCCAUGCACAAUCAGAAUCAAGUCGACCAACCCAACGAACAAGGAAGCGCUGAACCUCUCCAUCAUUAGUGAACACAGUUUCUUCAUCUAAAAUAGCAUCAAUUUUAUCUGUGUGUGCUGUGAGAGGUGGUAGUGGGUUAGAGGGGGCCAAAAAAUUAGGAUCAAGGUCCACAAAAGGAGGUAACGGGGGAUCAUCUGAGGGAAUGAAAUGGCCUUUAUAAGCUACAAGGUCUUCAACAUUGAAAGUAUGGUGGUAACCAAUGUGUGAUGGAAUGUCGACAAUAUA